AUGCCACCUUCCAUGCAAGACACGGAAGGCCUGCCGUUCAUGAAGCAUGGUUGUGUCUUCAGUGCGCACCACCGGAUGAAUGACAUGCUGGGACACGCUAUCCCUGGUUUAUGCCGCUUGAGCUUGGAUGAGUCUCAUUCAUGUGGAACCGGACUAGAAAGAUGCAACAAUGAUUCCCAUUGCCCACCGCUAUGGAUCAUGCCAUCCAUGAAGAACACCUGGGACUGGAACUUGGAGGAGGACAUCAGACGCAAAUGCGCUGGCCUUCAUGAUUCCGGGACCUGGAAUCAUACCAGCCGAUGGUUGAAGAAGGAUUGGCCGGUGCUGCCGGCUGGCGUCAAGUUCGAUCCCACGGAUCAGGAGCUGAUCGAGCACCUUGAGGCCAAAGUGAGUGCUGACAGCGCGACAUCUCACCCUCUCAUCGAUUUGUUCAUACCAACCAUCGACAGUGAGAAUGGCAUAUGCUACACCCAACCUGAGAAACUUCCAGGUAUCACACUGAGUGGCCUAAGGAAGCAUUUCUUCCAGUGCAAUUCCAGGGCGUUCAAAAGGGGCACAUGGACGCGUCCCAAGAUACAUUCGGAGUGCGGCAUGCACACAAUGUGGCACAAGACCUGCAAUACCUUGUCGGUGAUGGUCAACGACCGGCAGACAGGUAGCAAAAAGGUUCUGGUGCUGCACACCAACAAGAACUUCGAUCAGCAGAGGACCAACUGGGUGAUGCACCAGUACCACCUCAGGGACCUGGAGCAAGAGAAGGAGCGGGAGCUGGUCCUUUGCAAGAUUUUGUACCAGACGAACACUAGGGUCGGGAGUAAAAAGAUUAUAAGUUAG
Molecule: ribosomal RNA, 834 nt
Filed under: Triticum aestivum (bread wheat)
Lineage: Eukaryota; Viridiplantae; Streptophyta; Magnoliopsida; Poales; Poaceae
Description: partial small subunit ribosomal RNA
Source: RNAcentral